Molecule: RNA transcript, 2432 nt
Organism: Glycine soja
Lineage: Eukaryota; Viridiplantae; Streptophyta; Magnoliopsida; Fabales; Fabaceae
Gene name: protein BIC1-like
Exons: 4
Source: RefSeq, a predicted model, not a curated record
UAAACUAAAUUUCCACCCACUUCCCUUUGCUUUAUUCCCCACACAAACAAACCCCAUUUUCAAAUCUCCUCUACACAACAUCAAGGAUUACAGCACACACAAACAAAUACUCUCUCUCUCUCUCCAUGUAAAGAUAACAAACAACAACACCUCAUUCAUUCAUGGCUCACCAAUCCUCUUCUUCUGAAUCUGAUGACCGCCAGAUUCCUUCUCAUCAUCAGCCAUUGGACCUAAACAGUCCCCAUCCUUCUAAAGAUAUCAUCUUCAACAACAACAUGGAACUACAACAAGAAGAGAGCAACCUUAACAAGCAUGAAUAUGAUGAAGAUAUUAGAGAUAAAGAUAAGGAUGUUGUUACUACACAAAACCCAUCUGCAGCUUCAGAAACGACCCUUCUUUGUUGCAACGAGGAGAAUAUGGCAUUACAAGAAGAAGAGACUUCAGAUGUUGCAGCAGCAAAAGAAGAAGAAGAAGAAGAAGAUAGUGGACGCGAGAGGCUGAAUAGGCAUAGAGUUGAAGUGGCUGGGAGGGUAUGGAUUCCUGAUAUAUGGGGUCAGGAGGAGCUAUUGAAGGAUUGGAUAGAUUGCACUGCAUUUGAUGCUACUUUAGUUCCAAGCAGAAUCUCCACUGCACGAGAGGCUUUGGUUCAAGAGUGUACAAGAGCCAAUUCUGCUGGACUAAGAAUAGAGAACAGUGUUGUUUCAGGGAAAAGACAGUUACGUAUAAUUCGGAUUAAAAGAUGCAUCGUAUUUUGUGAGAACUAGCUAUGCGACCAAUGUGGGCACGGGGUAGCUCGAUUCGAUUACCUGUUCUAAUCCGUUCUGACAGCAAGUUGCCACACAGCGAUUAGUGAGUAAUAUAUCUUUCCUUAUCAUUCUACCACUACAACUUACUGAAGCAAAGCAUACUUACGAUACUAGUUCACCCUAGGGUAAGUAAUUUAUGAGCCAUUCCUGAGCAAAAAUGAAAAGUUUAGUUGUGACUUGUGACAGUAAUUACAAUUUACAGUCACACUCCUGACUCACCUAAAAAAUAUAAUAUUCAAUAUCUGUUGUAAAUUUUUAGUAAAUAUAACUAAAAAGAGAAAAAUAACUAUGAGGAUGCCUGCACACCUAGCACUUCUAUUAGGCUCCGCCAUUAUAAAUAUCUGCUACUCAUACAGCAAAUGUGGAAAACUAGUAUGAUAUCAACUCCCACACCUUGAUCGUCCCAUCAUCGCUUGCAGAGGCUAGUACCGGCUUCUCCUAUUUAGUAAAUAAGACUGUUACAAAUUGCAGAGAAAGACACAGGAAGCAGAAAACAAUGCUGAUAUAGGUCACCAUUCUCGAAAUAUGGACUUGGAUUUCAAUAUAAGGAUUUAUCCCUUAAUAACAACUGCACUAAUGUAGAGGUUCAAAACAUCCGCACGUUUUCAGACACCGAGAAGAGCACCUAAACAAAAGGAUCUGAUGCAAGUCGAAAAAUACACGGAGAAACUGAGAAGGGUGAUUCUUAUAUUAAGAAAAAUUCGAAACCAGAUUCUCCAGCUCGUCAGUAUACUCGAACAGUAAUGCAAAUAUAGAAGAAUAUUAGGCUCAUUUCUUCAAAAUAAAACAUAGUUCAAAUAGAAACUCGAUGCAAAUAAAUAAAGUUGCAAAUACAGUUAAUGUUAUAACUGUUUGACUGAGUGUUCUCUGCACUUCAGUUGUAAAUAAAGAAACAUCUGGCAUUGGUUUGUCAAAUCUUUUGCUACUCUUGUCCUUGUUAUCAAGUACAAAAAGAUUAAGAAAUUCCAGGUUAUUGAUAUGCACAAAUAGCCAAUAGAAUUAUAGAAUCACAGUGUCUGUGAUUUAAAGUGAUUGAUUUUACAACGGAAAAGGAAACUAGUAAUAGACACACUGGCAUACAAGGAUAAAAUAUCUAUAUGCUCCCACUGGCAUCCCUAGAGUGAAAGUUACAUGCCAUGCUAAAUAAUGACACUUGUUCUCCCCACCAGUACUCAAAACUCAAAAGGAAAAAAGAGGGACUUAGGGUGAGGGACCAGCAGCCUAUGACGUCAACGGAGUUGAUGAGCAAAUUUUCUGGUCAUUAAAACCAGCAAAUUCACAGCAUAGGUUAGCUGGGCAUUUUAAGUUUAAAGCAAGUGAAGCCUAUGCAAUUUAUUGUGCAUCCACAACUUAGUAACUGUUAUUCUCUUAAUUAGGAUACCCAGCAGCUGUAACUUAGUAACUGUAGUUCCCCCUUAAUUAGGCUACCCAACUGUAAGAUAAAUGUAUAUAUAGCAGUUUAGCUAAUUAUUGGGCUGAAAAUCAUAUUGUAUUAUAUGUGUGUGAGGGUGUUUGUCUGUGUGUGAAAAAGAGAGAGAGAAUUUUUAUUUCUCCAGCAGGAGAACACAGUUUUUGGCCUACACUUUUCUGAGUUUGGCAUAUGAAUAUAUUCACUUAACAUUCUCA